Larimichthys crocea (large yellow croaker) is the source of this 387-nucleotide long non-coding RNA. RefSeq lists it as uncharacterized. The record is from RefSeq and is a predicted model, not a curated record. NCBI's taxonomy places the organism in Eukaryota, Metazoa, Chordata, Actinopteri, Sciaenidae. The transcript has 3 exons.
GGUUAGCGGGCAGGUUAAUGAAAAAGUACACUGUAUUUGUUAUUUACACUGUAUUUGACCUCGUGUCCCCCUCCAGGGUUUCAAAGUGGGCUACGUCGUCUUCCAAAACUCCUCCAGUUUAAAGAAGCUAAAUCGCACCCGCAUGAUGACCUUUGGUGGUCUGCACAGAGCAGCGUCCAGUGAGGACAGGAGUGCAGAAAUGGAUCCAGCAGUACCAAGAGUCUUUUACCAGCCGGACAAACUGCAACAAAUGGUCGACUCCUUCAUGGAAGAAUACGACAAGAGGAAAGAAGAGGUAGCCGAGAGGCAGAGGAAGGAGGCUGAGCAGCAAAGAGGAAGACGAGGGCUGGGUUAAAGUACAAGAGGACCAAAGGGCACCAAGGCCCG